GUCGAGCGAUGAAGCACCUUCGGGUGUGAAUUAGCGGCGAACGGGUGAGGAACACGUGAGAAAUCUGCCUUCAACUCUGGGAUAACUCCGUGAAAACGGGGCUAAUACCGGAUAUGAGAUCUACAGGCAUCUGUGGAUCUGGAAAGUUUUUCGGUUGAAGAUGAUCUCGCGGCCUAUCAGCUUGUUGGUGAGGUAAUGGCUCACCAAGGCGACGACGGGUAGCCGGCCUGAGAGGGCGACCGGCCACACUGGGACUGAGACACGGCCCAGACUCCUACGGGAGGCAGCAGUGGGGAAUAUUGGGCAAUGGAGGAAACUCUGACCCAGCGACGCCGCGUGCGGGAUGAAGGCCUUCGGGUUGUAAACCGCUUUCAGCAGGGAAGAAGCGAAAGUGACGGUACCUGCAGAAGAAGCACCGGCUAACUAUGUGCCAGCAGCCGCGGUAAUACAUAGGGUGCAAGCGUUGUCCGGAAUUAUUGGGCGUAAAGAGCUCGUAGGUGGUUCGUCACGUCGGAUGUGAAACUCUGGGGCUUAACCCCAGACCUGCAUUCGAUACGGGCGAGCUUGAGUAUGGUAGGGGAGUCUGGAAUUCCUGGUGUAGCGGUGGAAUGCGCAGAUAUCAGGAGGAACACCAAUGGCGAAGGCAGGACUCUGGGCCAUUACUGACACUGA
This 672-nucleotide ribosomal RNA is filed under the name uncultured Actinomycetes bacterium. RNAcentral's name for it is "bacterial SSU rRNA". It matches the Rfam family "Bacterial small subunit ribosomal RNA", at positions 61 to 749 of the family's 1533-position model. Lineage: Bacteria; Bacillati; Actinomycetota; Actinomycetes. The record is from RNAcentral.